Molecule: non-coding RNA, 1901 nt
Organism: Salmo salar (Atlantic salmon)
Lineage: Eukaryota; Metazoa; Chordata; Actinopteri; Salmoniformes; Salmonidae
Source: RefSeq, a predicted model, not a curated record
GGGGCUUUCAGACCUCUCGUUGCGGAGAUGGUCCACUGGUGCCAGGGUGCCAUUCUGCUGGACCUCCCACGGUAUACCUUUGUUGUGGACAUAUACAGCCAUCACUGCUGCACAAGUUACUACAGGGACAACCACCUGUAACACGGGAUAGUAGAUACCAAAUCUGUCAACAUCUGAAACAGCUAGCAUCAGACACAUCAACAAGUUGUUCUUUGACAUUCAUGGUGAAUGUCAAACUCUCUGCUGACCCAGAGAGUUUGCAGAAUGAGCUCGAUGGAAUGAAAGCUGUUUUAAGUACCGAAGAGACUCGAGGGACAGACUGAAGAUAGUAGGGGGCUUAAAGGAGACUGUGGACAGGCAGAAGAAAGACCUGGACAUUGUGAGGAAGGAGAUUGAAGAGAAAGAAAUUCUCAGCUCACAGGGAUGAAAUACCUGGAGAACCAGCAAUGUGAGACCCAGGCUGCCAAGGAGGAGGCCCGACGACUCCGGACCAAAAUGAAAACAUAUGAGAGUCUGGAUGUGGUGUUGCAGGGUCAGAGAACUGAGGUGGAGUCCAUGAUCACUGACAUGGGUGUUGGCCAGGCUGCAUGUGGAGCAGCUUUCCAUCUACUGUAUUUCUCUCAAGAAAGAGUAUGACAAGCCGAAAGGGAGGUGUUUGCUUCAAACAACAAGUUGCAUAAAGCCACAAUGGAGUUGAACAGGACCAAGGAUGACAUGAAAGCUGUCCAAAAAUGACUUGACCAACACAGACAGAGAUUACCCCCUGCCCCAGUGGAGCUGAAACAGCCCCGUCUCCACCAGCCUGCCAACAGUGAGGAUAUUGCCCUCAACAUAACCUUUGACAUCAUCACCCCUGACCCGGUGUAUAAAAGGUUGUCACAGGUCCCAUCCAAGAAGAUGCGUCUGGACCCAGUUGCGUUGUCGUCCUCACCGACCAAACACCAAGACAAAGCCUUGUUUGGAAGUAAGGCCAGAGGCGACGACACCCAUGGAUACCUCCUUCCGUAAGGCCAACCUGUUCAGGAAGAAGACCUUCGUCAGCAUGCUGGACCCCAAGAGGAUUAAACUGGGAGCUGUAGGUUUAACCUGACUCCCUGUCUUGUUCUUGUCAACAAUAUGACAAUGUAUCACUAUCAUAUUCCAGGUCAGAAAUGGUUACGGUGGACUUGGGGGAAGAACCAAAUUCGUCCAGCCUUCUCUUUUGUCAGAGAUUCGCCCGCUCAUGAUGAAGGCCAAGAUAAAAAAAAAAAUGGUUCCCGACCAGCUCCUCCCAAGAUCUCCACCUGCCUUACUCUUAACAGUUUUCUGGUGUGACCUUUCCAUCCCUGACUGAUGCAUGUGUCAGUUGCACCUCUGACACUAGGGACCAGCCCGUCUGGGGCAAUAUAGAGGGGCAACCUGAAUAGGUUUACCAGUCAGGUAAAAAAUAACUUGGACCUCUUACUUGAGGGCCUGCUCCAAGCUUUGUGCAUGAAUGGGCAUAGCUGCUAGUUUGAUGAAAAUAUUUGUUUUGGUGUAUUGAGACUUCAUUUGGCUCAUGAAACACCCUGUCUGUGUUUAGUAAUUUUGUGUUGAGACAUUUCAUUUUUUUCUGGUUUAUAAUUUUGAGUGUGGAAGAGUUAUCUGCUGACUGAAACAUAUCAUUACUAGCAUCUGUGAAAUGUCAGGCAUUUGCCUGUGGCACAUUACACAAAUCCACAUUUUAUCUAUCUUUCACACUUGAACAUUUCUUGACUUACUUACUGUCUGAAUAUUGUAAUACAGCGUUGUAUUGAAUAUUUAGAAGUUGUUUCCCACUUGGGGUGGCAGGUAGCCUAGUGGUCAGAGCGUUGGGCCAGUAACCAAAAGGUUGCUAGAGCGAGUCCCGGAGCUGACAAGGUAAAAUCUGUCGUCUGCCCCCG